UACGUAGGGGGCGAGCGUUGUUCGGAAUUACUGGGCGUAAAGCGCGCGUAGGCGGUGGUCUUUGUCAGAGGUGAAAGCCCGGGGCUCAACUCCGGAAUUGCCUUUGAAACGGGAUCGCUAGAGUCCGAGAGAGGAUGGCGGAAUUCCUAGUGUAGAGGUGAAAUUCGUAGAUAUUAGGAAGAACACCAGUGGCGAAGGCGGCUCACUGGUCCGGUACUGACGCUGAGGUGCGAAAGCGUGGGGAGCGAACAGG
Molecule: ribosomal RNA, 253 nt
Filed under: uncultured bacterium
Lineage: Bacteria
Description: partial 16S ribosomal RNA
Rfam family: Bacterial small subunit ribosomal RNA
Source: RNAcentral